RNAcentral lists this ribosomal RNA (507 nucleotides) under uncultured bacterium. RNAcentral describes it as "bacterial SSU rRNA". It matches the Rfam family "Bacterial small subunit ribosomal RNA", at positions 1 to 507 of the family's 1533-position model. The record is from RNAcentral.
ACUACGAGUUUGAUCAUGGCUCAGAUUGAACGCUGGCGGCACGCUUAACACAUGCAAGUCGAACGCGAAAGUCCUUCGGGGCGAGUAGAGUGGCGGACGGGUGAGUAACGCGUGGGAAUCUACCCUAGAGCGGGGGACAACCCGGGGAAACCCGGGCUAAUACCGCAUACGUCCUACGGGAGAAAGAGGGCCUCUGCUUGCACGCUCUCACUCCAGGAUGAGCCCACGUCCGAUUAGCUAGUUGGUAGGGUAAAGGCCUACCAAGGCCACGAUCGGUAGCUGGUCUGAGAGGAUGAUCAGCCACACUGGGACUGAGACACGGCCCAGACUCCUACGGGAGGCAGCAGUGGGGAAUAUUGGACAAUGGGCGCAAGCCUGAUCCAGCAAUGCCGCGUGUGUGAAGAAGGCCUGCGGGUUGUAAAGCACUUUCAGUGGGGAAGAACAGAUUCGGGUCAAUACCCCGGAGCCCUGACGUUACCCACAGAAGAAGCACCGGCUAACUCCGUG